UACGGAGGGUGCAAGCGUUAUCCGGAUUCACUGGGUUUAAAGGGUGCGUAGGCGGGUAUUUAAGUCAGUGGUGAAAUCCUAGAGCUUAACUCUAGAACUGCCAUUGAUACUAUUUAUCUUGAAUAUUGUGGAGGUAAGCGGAAUAUGUCAUGUAGCGGUGAAAUGCUUAGAUAUGACAUAGAACACCUAUUGCGAAGGCAGCUUACUACGCAUAUAUUGACGCUGAGGCACGAAAGCGUGGGGGAUCAAACAGGAUUAGAUACCCUGGUAGUCCACGCCCUAAACGAUGGAUACUCGACAUACGCGAUACACUGUGUGUGUCUGAGCGAAAGCAUUAAGUAUCCCACCUGGGAAGUACGACCGCAAGGUUGAAACUCAAAG
Molecule: ribosomal RNA, 381 nt
Filed under: uncultured bacterium
Lineage: Bacteria
Description: bacterial SSU rRNA
Rfam family: Bacterial small subunit ribosomal RNA
Source: RNAcentral